GAUGAACGCUAGCGGCAGGCUUAAUACAUGCAAGUCGAGGGGCAGCACAGAUAGCAAUAUUGGGUGGCGACCGGCAAACGGGUGCGGAACACGUACACAACCUUCCUUUUAGUGUGGGAUAGCCCAGAGAAAUUUGGAUUAAUACCACAUAGUAUAUUGGAGUGGCAUCACUUUGAUAUUAAAGAUUUAUCGCUAAAAGAUGGGUGUGCGUAUGAUUAGGUAGUUGGUAAAGGUAACGGCUCACCAAGCCUUCGAUCAUUAACUGGUGUGAGAGCACGACCAGUCACACGGGCACUGAGACACGGGCCCGACUCCUACGGGAGGCAGCAGUAAGGAAUAUUGGUCAAUGGACGGAAGUCUGAACCAGCCAUGCCGCGUGAAGGAUGACGGCCCUCUGGGUUGUAAACUUCUUUUAUGUGGGACGAAAAAGGGCCAUUUUUGGUCAACUGACGGUACCAUAGGAAUAAGCACCGGCUAACUCCGUGCCAGCAGCCGCGGUAA
Molecule: ribosomal RNA, 501 nt
Filed under: uncultured bacterium
Lineage: Bacteria
Description: partial 16S ribosomal RNA
Rfam family: Bacterial small subunit ribosomal RNA
Source: RNAcentral